This 72-nucleotide transfer RNA is filed under the name Camelus bactrianus (Bactrian camel). It matches the Rfam family "tRNA". Rfam says of the family: Transfer RNA (tRNA) molecules are approximately 80 nucleotides in length. Their secondary structure includes four short double-helical elements and three loops (D, anti-codon, and T loops). The record is from Rfam by way of RNAcentral. RNAcentral also lists the same sequence under 2 other names. Lineage: Eukaryota; Metazoa; Chordata; Mammalia; Artiodactyla; Camelidae.
GUGGGUAUAGCUCAGUGGUAGAGCACAUGCUUAGCAUGCAUAAGGUCCUGGGUUCAAUCCCCAGUGCCUCCA